This 75-nucleotide long non-coding RNA is filed under the name Panthera pardus (leopard). RNAcentral describes it as "ZNRD1 antisense RNA 1 conserved region 2 (ENSPPRG00000017249.1)". It matches the Rfam family "ZNRD1 antisense RNA 1 conserved region 2". Lineage: Eukaryota; Metazoa; Chordata; Mammalia; Carnivora; Felidae. The record is from RNAcentral.
CUUUAUCUUCUUUUCUAGUGGGGACUGGGAACCCCUGCAAUCCGAGGGUCCUGAGUGUUUUGGGCCCAGGCCAAU